RNAcentral lists this long non-coding RNA (474 nucleotides) under Olea europaea (common olive). Its description in RNAcentral is "long non-coding RNA (OEUR_LNC004199)". Lineage: Eukaryota; Viridiplantae; Streptophyta; Magnoliopsida; Lamiales; Oleaceae. The record is from RNAcentral.
AAAAUAAAUUGAUGUUCCUAUGAUGUGCUGAAAAUUGGUCCAACUACGAUUUCAGUAAAAUCCACAUUUUGGGCUUCAGAUUUAAGUGAUUUCUCUACAUCUUUAUUUGGUUGAAAUUGCUAAAAGCAACUAUCAACCUUUGCUAACCAAUCGUCGACCAUCACCAACUGUGGUGCCAGCGCUAGCAACCUUAAGAUUAGGAGUUCUAGUACACAAAAUGGGCUCGUUGGUGAAGAUCAUACGCAGAUCCAAUUUGUUCAUUGACGCCAUCAUCAAUGGUACAUGUUGUAGCUUGAGUUCCACAAAGAGAAAAAAACGGUAAUAGAGAUAGAUUCUGUACAGAAAAAAAAAUGCUAGAGUGAAAAUAGAUUGGAGAGGAAAUUUGUAAUAUAAUCUAAUUUUUAAUACAUUAUAUAUUCAAUAUUAAAUAAUUUAGUUAUAAUCGGAUUUGUGAAAUAAUAAACUUAUAGCCUG